AGCAGUCGCCGCGGUAAUACAGAGGGUGCAAGCGUUAAUCGGAAUUACUGGGCGUAAAGCGCGCGUAGGUGGUUUGUUAAGUUGGAUGUGAAAUCCCCGGGCUCAACCUGGGAACUGCAUCCAAAACUGGCAAGCUAGAGUAUGGUAGAGGGUGGUGGAAUUUCCUGUGUAGCGGUGAAAUGCGUAGAUAUAGGAAGGAACACCAGUGGCGAAGGCGACCACCUGGACUGAUACUGACACUGAGGUGCGAAAGCGUGGGGAGCAAACAGGAUUAGAUACCCGCGUAGUCCCUGUCUCUUAUAC
RNAcentral lists this ribosomal RNA (303 nucleotides) under uncultured bacterium. RNAcentral describes it as "partial 16S ribosomal RNA". It matches the Rfam family "Bacterial small subunit ribosomal RNA", at positions 507 to 807 of the family's 1533-position model. The record is from RNAcentral.